This 334-nucleotide unclassified non-coding RNA is filed under the name soil metagenome. RNAcentral's name for it is "partial contains 5.8S ribosomal RNA, internal transcribed spacer 2, and large subunit ribosomal RNA". The stretch from base 1 to 120 matches the Rfam family "5.8S ribosomal RNA", at positions 35 to 154 of the family's 154-position model. The record is from RNAcentral.
GAUGAAGAACGUAGCAAAAUGCGAUAAGUAAUGUGAAUUGCAGAAUUCAGUGAAUCAUCGAAUCUUUGAACGCACAUUGCGCCCGCCAGUAUUCUGGCGGGCAUGCCUGUUCGAGCGUCAUUUCAACCAUCAAGCCCCCGGCUUGUGUUGGGGACCUGCGGCUGCCGCAGGCCCUGAAAUGCAGUGGCGGGCUCGCUGUCACUCCGAGCGUAGUAGUUACAUCUCGCUCUGGGCGUGCUGCGGGUUCCGGCCGUUAAAAGCCUUAUUUACCCAAGGUUGACCUCGGAUCAGGUAGGAAGACCCGCUGAACUUAAGCAUAUCAAUAAGCGGAGGA